UGUGUGUGUGCUGGAUGAUUGUGUGUGUGUGCUUGAUGAUUGUGUGUGUGUGCUGGAUGAUUGUGUGUGUGCGUGCUGGAUGAUGUGUGUGUGUGUGUGUGUGCUGGAUGAUGUGUGUGUGUGUGUGUGCUGGAUUAUGUGUGUGUGAGUGCUGGAUGAUGUGUGUGUGUGCUGGAUGAUGUGUGUGUGAGUGCUGGAUGAUGUGUGUGUGAGUGCUGGAUGAUGUGUGUGUGUGUGUGAGUGCUG
This is a non-coding RNA of Pelobates cultripes (western spadefoot toad), 246 nucleotides long. The record is from the annotation of a GenBank genome assembly. NCBI's taxonomy places the organism in Eukaryota, Metazoa, Chordata, Amphibia, Anura, Pelobatidae.